This 500-nucleotide ribosomal RNA is filed under the name uncultured bacterium. RNAcentral's name for it is "partial 16S ribosomal RNA". It matches the Rfam family "Bacterial small subunit ribosomal RNA", at positions 30 to 523 of the family's 1533-position model. The record is from RNAcentral.
AUUGAACGCUGGCGGAAUGCUUUACACAUGCAAGUCGAACGGCAGCACGGACUUCGGUCUGGUGGCGAGUGGCGAACGGGUGAGUAAUACAUCGGAACGUGCCCAGUCGUGGGGGAUAACGUAGCGAAAGCUACGCUAAUACCGCAUACGAUCUAAGGAUGAAAGCGGGGGAUCGCAAGACCUCGCGCGAUUGGAGCGGCCGAUGGCAGAUUAGGUAGUUGGUAGGGUAAAGGCCUACCAAGCCGACGAUCUGUAGCUGGUCUGAGAGGAUGAUCAGCCACACUGGGACUGAGACACGGCCCAGACUCCUACGGGAGGCAGCAGUGGGGAAUUUUGGACAAUGGGCGCAAGCCUGAUUCAGCCAUUCCGCGUGCAGGAUGAAGGCCUUCGGAUUGUAAACUGCUUUUGUACUGAACGAAAAGGCUCUGGUUAAUACCCGGGGCUCAUGACGGUACUGUAAGAAUAAGCACCGGCUAACUACGUGCCAGCCGCCGCAGUAA